RNAcentral lists this ribosomal RNA (410 nucleotides) under uncultured Methylomirabilota bacterium. Its description in RNAcentral is "bacterial SSU rRNA". It matches the Rfam family "Bacterial small subunit ribosomal RNA", at positions 1025 to 1434 of the family's 1533-position model. Lineage: Bacteria; Methylomirabilota (SeqCode). The record is from RNAcentral.
AGCGUGGAGACAGGUGGUGCAGGGCUGUCGUCAGCUCGUGUCGUGAGAUGUUGGGUUAAGUCCCGCAACGAGCGCAACCCUCACCCCUUGUUGCCAUCAGGUCAUGCUGGGCACUCUAGGGGAACUGCCCCGGUCAACGGGGAGGAAGGCGGGGAUGACGUCAAGUCAUCAUGCCCCUUACGCCCUGGGCUACACACGUGCUACAAUGGCCGGUACAAAGGGAUGCAACGCCGUGAGGCAGAGCCAAACCCAAAAAGCCGGUCUAAGUUCAGAUUGGAGUCUGCAACUCGACUCCAUGAAGGAGGAAUCGCUAGUAAUCGCGUAUCAGCACGACGCGGUGAAUACGUUCCCGGGCCUUGUACACACCGCCCGUCACACCACGAAAGCCUGCUGUACUCGAAGUCGCUGAG